AACAUUAGUGCUAAUUGCUCAAUACCUGAAAUACAAAACAUAAUUGGUGAGUACAAACCACUAGUACAAAGACUAGGGUCAAAGGCAAGUCAAAUAUUCAAAACAGAAGUCAACAUUUCACAAGAAGCACAUUCAAUCAAACAAUAAAGAGUCCUCAAAAGGACCAAAGCCAAAUAAUAAGGCAAAGCCAUCAAAUGAUCAAAGUAAAGCCAAGGCAAGCAAAGGUGAGCAAUUAGACAAUCAAAUUAGAAAAACCAAAUGAAAAC
Molecule: long non-coding RNA, 266 nt
Filed under: Lathyrus oleraceus (garden pea)
Lineage: Eukaryota; Viridiplantae; Streptophyta; Magnoliopsida; Fabales; Fabaceae
Description: Pisum sativum (pea) long non-coding RNA (PSAT_LNC016084)
Source: RNAcentral